Small nuclear RNA from Cavia aperea (Brazilian guinea pig), 103 nucleotides. Lineage: Eukaryota; Metazoa; Chordata; Mammalia; Rodentia; Caviidae. The record is from Ensembl.
GCACUUGACCACUGUGGUCACUAACAUUGGAAGGACAUAGCGGUGAUUAGCAAGGCAUCUGUGUAAGGAGGACACACAAAAUUGUGACACUGUCCAUUAGAAU